This 231-nucleotide ribosomal RNA is filed under the name uncultured bacterium. RNAcentral's name for it is "partial 16S ribosomal RNA". It matches the Rfam family "Bacterial small subunit ribosomal RNA", at positions 107 to 334 of the family's 1533-position model. The record is from RNAcentral.
CGCGUAACACGUAAGCAACCUGCCCCGAAGACCGGGACAACAGCCCGAAAGGGCUGCUAAUACCGGAUGUGGCCACUAAGAGACAUCUUUUGGUGAUUAAAGCGAUAAUAUCGGCUUCGGGAGGGGCUUGCGGCCUAUCAGCUAGAUGGUGGGGUAACGGCCUACCAUGGCGACGACGGGUAGCUGGUCUGAGAGGACGGCCAGCCGGACUGGGACUGAGAUACGGCCCAG